CGUCCCUGCCCCUUGUACACACCGCCCGUCGCUCCUACCGACUGGGCGCGGCGGCGAGCGUCCCGGACCGGAAGGGCCGCGAGCCCCCGCGCCUGGAGGAAGGAGAAGUCGUAACAAGGUAUCCGUAGGUGAACCUGCGGAUGGAUCCCUCG
RNAcentral lists this ribosomal RNA (152 nucleotides) under Giardia duodenalis. RNAcentral's name for it is "Giardia intestinalis partial 16S ribosomal RNA". It matches the Rfam family "Eukaryotic small subunit ribosomal RNA", at positions 1648 to 1831 of the family's 1831-position model. Lineage: Eukaryota; Fornicata; Diplomonadida; Hexamitidae. The record is from RNAcentral.